This 515-nucleotide small RNA is filed under the name Pan troglodytes (chimpanzee). Its description in RNAcentral is "retained intron". Lineage: Eukaryota; Metazoa; Chordata; Mammalia; Primates; Hominidae. The record is from RNAcentral.
AACACCCCAGCCUGCAACACCAGCACCCUGCAACAUCUCAGCCCUCAAUACCUGCACCCAGCAAUGCUCUCACCCUGCAACAUCGACACCAGCUCAACCUGGCAGGGGACCAGAGGUACUGGCUGGGGGUGUUGAUUGCUUCUCUUUUCUCCCUUGCCAGACUCAGUAGAGGAAGCUGAGACCGAGCAGCCGCAGGAAAAAGGUGUUUUUGUGACUUGCAGAAAUACCUCCACCUUGCCUGAGCCCGGAGCCACAGGAGACCUUGCAGAAGGUGAAGAAUGUUCUGGAACAAUGCAAGACCUGCCCAGGCUGCCCCCAGGAGCCAGCGUCCUGGGGUCUCUGUGCGGCAUCCAGUGACGUGAGCUUGCAGGACCCCGAGGAGCCCUCCUUCUGCUUGGAAGCUGAGGACGACUGGGAGGACCCAGAGGCCCUGAGCUCACUGCUGCUGUUCCUGAACGCCUCCGGGUACAAGGCCAGCUUCCAUGGCCUGUACGAUGUGGCGCUGCCAUGGCUGA